This 402-nucleotide long non-coding RNA is filed under the name Cyanistes caeruleus (blue tit). RNAcentral describes it as "lncRNA (ENSCCEG00000002264.1)". The record is from RNAcentral. Lineage: Eukaryota; Metazoa; Chordata; Aves; Passeriformes; Paridae.
GUGAAGCCUGGAUUCCUCCUCAGUAGAUAAUAUCUUUGUGCUAACAGUCUUGGGCUUCUGGGACACAUUCUGCUCUGAUUUACUGUGCUUUUAGUAGCUUUGUAAAGGGUCAGUCAGCAUUGUUUGUGCCCAUGUGCUAUGACUGCUUAGUGAUGGCCAUUGAAGCAUCAUCAGAGGGGGCCAAAUAUACUUCUCAAAAGACACUUACAUGGAUCAUUUUAAUUUGUUAAGGAGCCUUGAAUUUGUCUGUGAGUGCUACAGCUCUGCAGUCCUGCAUUCUGCAAGAAAGGAUCUCACCUUCAGAUUAUGAACCAGAUGAGGAUUACAGACAUUGAAUAAAAAUCUUUGCCGUGUGUGAAAUGGAGUUCUUCGAGGCUGUAUCUUUUAAUGGCUGAGAGGACA